This 774-nucleotide ribosomal RNA is filed under the name uncultured Neocallimastigales. Its description in RNAcentral is "partial large subunit ribosomal RNA". It matches the Rfam family "Eukaryotic large subunit ribosomal RNA", at positions 24 to 635 of the family's 3401-position model. The record is from RNAcentral. Lineage: Eukaryota; Fungi; Neocallimastigomycota; Neocallimastigomycetes; Neocallimastigales.
UAGUCUCGCACAGAUGCAUAUCAAUAAGCGGAGGAAAAGAAACUAACAAGGAUUCCCUUAGUAACGGCGAGUGAAGCGGGAAGAGCUCAAAUUUGAAAUCUUGCAAGGUUUACCUUUCACGAAUUGUAGUUUAAAGAAGUGUUUUCUGUUACGAUUUGGUAAUAAGUUCUUUGGAAUAGGACAUCAUAGAGGGUGAGAAUCCCGUAUGAUUGACCGAUUAUUGUCAGCUUUGUGAUACACUUUCAAAGAGUCGGGAUUGUUUGGGAAUGCAGUCCAAAAUGGGUGGUAAAUUUCUUCUAAGGCUAAAUAUUGGCGAGAGACCGAUAGCGAACAAGUACCGUGAGGGAAAGAUGAAAAGAACUUUGAAAAGAGAGUUAAAUAGUACGUGAAAUUGUCAAAAGGGAAGCGUUUAACACCAGUGUUGUUUUCUGAAAAUCAACCUCUGUUAGCUUUAUGCAUGUUUGUUUAGACCUAAUCAGCUAUCUUGCAUGUUCUAUUGUUUGCAGUGGUGCACUUUUCAGUUUACAGGUCAACAUCAGUUUUUUUUACCGUAAAAAAGUUAAAGAAAGGUAGCUCAUGGCUCCGGUCGUGAGUGUUAUAGUCUUUUUCCUAUGCGGUAGGAGAGACUGAGGUCUGCAGUGUAGGCUAUUGGCUAGAUACUCAGGUGCUAUGUGAUACCAUUUCAUAAACAACUUGUUGAUUAUGUUUUGUCUAUUGCAUACUCGCUUGUACUAUCAUACCUACGCUUAGGAUGUUGAAGAUGUAGCACAUCAU